This 254-nucleotide ribosomal RNA is filed under the name uncultured bacterium. RNAcentral describes it as "partial 16S ribosomal RNA". It matches the Rfam family "Bacterial small subunit ribosomal RNA", at positions 524 to 776 of the family's 1533-position model. The record is from RNAcentral.
UACAGAGGGGGCAAGCGUUGUUCGGAAUUACUGGGCGUAAAGGGCGCGUAGGCGGCCUGUUAAGUCGAACGUGAAAUCCCCGGGCUCAACCCGGGAACUGCGUCCGAUACUGGCAGGCUUGAAUCCGGGAGAGGGAUGCGGAAUUCCACGUGUAGCGGUGAAAUGCGUAGAGAUGUGGAGGAACACCAGUGGCGAAGGCGGUUCUCUGGGCCUGAUACUGACGCUGAGGAGCGAAAGCGUGGGGAGCGAACAGG